GAUGAACGCUAGCGGCAGGCCUAACACAUGCAAGUCGAGGGGUAGAAGCAUCUUGCUCCUUUUAUACCUGCGCACGGGCGCGUAACGCGUAUGCAAACUACCUUGUACAGUGGAAUAGACCUGAGAAUAUUGUAUUAAUAGUCCAUAUAAUAUAAAAUUCGAAUCUUGGUUAGAUUAAGAUUGCAACUGUACAAUAUGAGGAUGCGUCCGAUUAUUUAGUUGGUAAGGUAACGGCUUACCAAGACGAUGAUGGGUAGGGGUUCUGAGAGGGAGGUCCCCCACAUUGGAACUGAGACACGGACCAGACUCCUACGGGAGGCAGCAGUGAGGAAUAUUGGUCAAUGGUCGAAAGACUGAACCAGCCAAGCAGCGUGCAGGAAGACGGUCCUAUGGAUUGUAAACUGCUUUUAUAAGGGAAGAAACUCUCUCACGUGUGAGUGUUUGAAGGUACUGUAGGAAUAAGGAUCGGCUAAUUCCGUG
RNAcentral lists this ribosomal RNA (480 nucleotides) under uncultured bacterium. Its description in RNAcentral is "partial 16S ribosomal RNA". It matches the Rfam family "Bacterial small subunit ribosomal RNA", at positions 28 to 507 of the family's 1533-position model. The record is from RNAcentral.